Molecule: ribosomal RNA, 521 nt
Filed under: Bacteroidetes bacterium enrichment culture
Lineage: Bacteria; Pseudomonadati; Bacteroidota
Description: bacterial SSU rRNA
Rfam family: Bacterial small subunit ribosomal RNA
Source: RNAcentral
GAAGAAAGCUGACGCAGCCAUGCCGCGUGCAGGACGACGGCCCUACGGGUUGUAAACUGCUUUUCCGGGGGAAGAAUAAGGCCCAUGCGUGGGCCGAUGCCGGUACCCCGGGAAUAAGGAUCGGCUAACUCCGUGCCAGCAGCCGCGGUAAUACGGAGGAUCCUAGCGUUAUCCGGAUUUACUGGGUUUAAAGGGUGCGUAGGCGGGCGUUUAAGUCCGCGGUGAAAGUCUGCGGCUCAACCGUAGGACUGCCGUGGAUACUGGGCGCCUUGAAUUCGGUCGAGGCGGGCGGAAUGCGUGGUGUAGCGGUGAAAUGCUUAGAUAUCACGCAGAACGCCGAUAGCGAAGGCAGCUCGCCGGGCCGAUAUUGACGCUGAUGCACGAAAGCGUGGGGAUCAAACAGGAUUAGAUACCCUGGUAGUCCACGCCGUAAACGAUGAUGGCUGGGUGUUGGCGAUACACCGUCAGCGCCUGAGGGAAACCAUUAAGCCAUCCACCUGGGGAGUACGGCCGCAAGGCUG